This 74-nucleotide transfer RNA is filed under the name Gammaproteobacteria bacterium. RNAcentral's name for it is "tRNA-Cys". It matches the Rfam family "tRNA". From Rfam's summary of the family: Transfer RNA (tRNA) molecules are approximately 80 nucleotides in length. Their secondary structure includes four short double-helical elements and three loops (D, anti-codon, and T loops). RNAcentral also lists the same sequence under 2 other names. The record is from RNAcentral. Lineage: Bacteria; Pseudomonadati; Pseudomonadota; Gammaproteobacteria.
GGCUCGGUGACAGAGUGGUGAUGUAGCGGACUGCAACUCCGUGCACAGCGGUUCGAUUCCGCUCCGAGCCUCCA